Molecule: RNA transcript, 868 nt
Organism: Cimex lectularius (bed bug)
Lineage: Eukaryota; Metazoa; Arthropoda; Insecta; Hemiptera; Cimicidae
Exons: 5
Source: RefSeq, a predicted model, not a curated record
UAUAACCACUUUUAAAUUGGAGCCCGAGUGCACGAGAGUUCGCUUGAUGCGCGGCGGCUCCGGCAGACGAGGAACGCGUGGCGACGAGAGAGGUGGCUUGUCUUUUUUUGUGGUUUGCGCUCUCGUUUUUUUCCCCGGGGACGACAAGUGGACGUUUUCUGGAUUCAGCGGCCUUUUUUACGGAGGGAAGAGAUCUUUCUGGACGUCGAAUUGCACAACCGGCUUCAUACGAGUUCGACAACUAUUUGCCUUGGACUUUCAACGAGCUGCAGGGAUCUUAAGGAUCGCACCAAUUGGGCAUGCGGUGGGAACUUCGAUCGUCUUGGUGGUCUUCGCUGUUAGCACGACAGACAUCGCAUUCGGUUUAACGCAAUCUUUUUGCAUGUUCAAUUGUUAUACCCAAAGAGCGUAUGGGACGCCGUGAAACGGUGAAAAGGGGCGGCAAAGCGGAUUAUGCAGUAUACAACUAUUGCUUUAUCUCCAGGUUCGCGCUGAGACUUGUGCUCAUGCGGUUAAUUAUGAAGCACUGUUUACCUGCGGUUCUUCAAAUAUGCAAGUGGAGUCUAGGGCGAGCACCACAUCCCCCGACGAGAACAAAGCGUCUUCAACUAUUUAAACAGGCCGUAUACAACAUUGAAACUGCCUAACAUAACUUAUCUAAGUGAUAUUGACUUACAACAGAGCCAGAUAUUACAUUAGAUGAAAACGAAGUCGAAAUAAGGAUUUCUACAAGAAAUUUACGAUCUUUCUACAAGAAAUCCUUCAACCUGAUGAUGAGCUAAGGGCUCGAAAUCCGGACGUUACAAAACAACUUAAUGUGAGUAAGAACUCUUUUUUAAAAAAGGAUAAGUUUGAUUGCAAUGUCUUA